UACGUAGGGAGCAAGCGUUGUCCGGAAUCAUUGGGCGUAAAGCGCGUGUAGGCGGUUCGGUAAGUCCGCUGUGAAAGUCGAGGGCUCAACCCUCGGAUGCCGGUGGAUACUGUCGGACUAGAGUACGGAAGAGGCGAGUGGAAUUCCUGGUGUAGCGGUGAAAUGCGCAGAUAUCAGGAGGAACACCAAUUGCGAAGGCAGCUCGCUGGGACGUUACUGACGCUGAGACGCGAAAGCGUGGGGAGCAAACAGG
This 253-nucleotide ribosomal RNA is filed under the name uncultured bacterium. RNAcentral's name for it is "partial 16S ribosomal RNA". It matches the Rfam family "Bacterial small subunit ribosomal RNA", at positions 524 to 776 of the family's 1533-position model. The record is from RNAcentral.